RNAcentral lists this long non-coding RNA (366 nucleotides) under Monodelphis domestica (gray short-tailed opossum). Its description in RNAcentral is "lncRNA (ENSMODG00000046935.1)". Lineage: Eukaryota; Metazoa; Chordata; Mammalia; Didelphimorphia; Didelphidae. The record is from RNAcentral.
AUGGGUUUUUUUCUGACUCUCUGUGACUUUAUUUGGGGUUUUCUUGGCAAAGGUACUUGGAGUGGUUGUCAUUUCCUUCUCCAGAACAUUUUACAGAUGAGAAAACUGAGGCAAACAGGGUUAAAUAGUUUGCCUAUGGUCACACAGCUAGGCAGGAUCCAAGUGGAAUCUCGAGGGAAGCCAAGGCAAAUAAGGAAGAGAAGAAGAAAGGAGAGAGGAGAGAAGGAGAGAAGGGGAGAGAGAGAAAGAGAGAGAGGGAGAGAGGGAGGGAGAGAGAGAGAGAGAGGGAAGGAAGAGGAGGAGGGAAAGAGGGAGAGAAGGCCAUUUAAAAAUGCAUCUGCAUUGUCAUUUUUAGCAACGAGAUAA